GACGAACGCUGGCGGCGUGCUUAACACAUGCAAGUCGAACGGAAAGGCCCUGCUUUUGUGGGGUGCUCGAGUGGCGAACGGGUGAGUAACACGUGAGUAACCCGCCCUUGUCUUUCGGAUAAAUUCUGGAAACUGGGGCUCAUACCGGAUAGGAUCUCCUGCAGCAUGGUGGGGGUUGGAAAGUGUCGGCGGUUGGGGAUGGACUGGCGGGUUAUCAGCUUGUUGGUGGGGUAGUGGCUUACCAAGGCUUUGACGGGUAGCCGGCCUGAGAGGGUGACCGGCCACAUUGGGACUGAGAGACGGCCCAGACGCCUACGGGAGGCAGCAGGGGGGAAUAUUGCACAAUGGGCGGAAGCGUGAUGCAGAAGCGCCGCGUGCGGGAUGACGGCUUACGGGUGAUAAACCGAUGUCGCCGUAGAUGAAGCGGGAGUGACGGUAAUGGAUAAAGAAGCACCGGCUAACUACGUG
RNAcentral lists this ribosomal RNA (468 nucleotides) under uncultured bacterium. RNAcentral describes it as "partial 16S ribosomal RNA". It matches the Rfam family "Bacterial small subunit ribosomal RNA", at positions 28 to 507 of the family's 1533-position model. The record is from RNAcentral.